This 1875-nucleotide ribosomal RNA is filed under the name human gut metagenome. Its description in RNAcentral is "bacterial LSU rRNA". It matches the Rfam family "Bacterial large subunit ribosomal RNA", at positions 1007 to 2925 of the family's 2925-position model. The record is from RNAcentral.
AGUCGCAAAAGAGGAACAACUCAGACCAGCAACUAAGGUCCCGAAGAAUAUGCUAAGUUGAUCUAACGAUGUUUUGUUGCAGAGACAGCUAGGAUGUUAGCUUGGAAGCAGCUAUUCAUUCAAAGAGUGCGUAACAGCUCACUAGUCGAGCGACAGAGCGUGGAUAAUAAACGGGCAUCAAGCAUAUCACCGAAGUUCUGGGCGCGAGAGCGCGGUAGGGGAGCAUUCCAUUCAGCGUCGAAGCAGUUUCGUGAGGAAUUGUGGAGCGUAUGGAAAAGCAAAUGUAGGCAUGAGUAACGAUAAUGCGGGAGAGUAACCCGCACACCGCAAGACCAAGGUUUCCUGAUCAACGCUAAUCGGAUCAGGGUUAGUCGGGUCCUAAGGGUAAGCCGAACGGCGAUCUCGAUGGAUAAUCGGUUAAUAUUCCGAUACUAACAUAUACCUCGAUGGAGAGACGAAGGAACGUAAGUGCCGCCACCUGACGGAAUAGGUGGUUAAAGGGCGUAGGUAUAGGGGCAGAUUAAGAGUUAGUCCUUGCUGAAACCUGACAGUACAGAGAGCCUACGGGCAAUUUGAUAGUGCACCCAAGUCGACUUCCGAGAAAAUCUUCUAAGUUAUAGUAUAUGUUACCCGUACCGUAAACCGACACAGGUGGUCGAGGAGAGUAUCCUAAGGUGCUCGAGUGAAUCACGGUUAAGGAACUAGGCAAAUUAACCCCGUAACUUCGGGAAAAGGGGUCCCUAUGAAAGUAGGGCGCAGCGAAGAGGUCCAGGCGACUGUUUAUCAAAAACACAGGGCUCUGCAAAUUCGAAAGAAGACGUAUAGGGCCUGACACCUGCCCGGUGCUGGAAGGUUAAGAGGGGAUGUCAUCGCAAGAGAAGCAUUGAAUCGAAGCCCCAGUAAACGGCGGCCGUAACUAUAACGGUCCUAAGGUAGCGAAAUUCCUUGUCGGGUAAGUUCCGACCUGCACGAAUGGUGUAAUGAUCUGGACACUGUCUCAUCCGUGAGCUCAGUGAAAUUGUAGUCCCGGUGAAGAUGCCGGGUACCCGCAACGGGACGAAAAGACCCCGUGAACCUUUACUAUAGCUUAACGCUGAAUUUGGGUACACAAUGUGUAGGAUAGGCCGGAGGCUUUGAAGCGGGCACGCCAGUGUUCGUGGAGCCGACGUUGAAAUACGGCCCUUUGUGUAUUUGAGUUCUAACCCUGCGAAGGGGACACCGUUUGGUGGGUAGUUUGACUGGGGUGGUCGCCUCCAAAAGCGUAACGGAGGCUUCCCAAGGUACCCUCAGCACGAAUGGUAACCGUGCGCGGAGUGCAAUAGCAUAAGGGUGCUUGACUGUGAGACAUACAAGUCGACCAGGUACGAAAGUAGGGUAUAGUGAUCCGGUGGUUCUGCGUGGACUGGCCAUCGCUCAAAGGAUAAAAGGUACUCCGGGGAUAACAGGCUGAUCGCCGCCAAGAGCUCAUAUCGACGCGGCGGUUUGGCACCUCGAUGUCGGCUCGUCACAUCCUGGGGCUGGAGAAGGUCCCAAGGGUUCGGCUGUUCGCCGAUUAAAGUGGCACGCGAGCUGGGUUCAGAACGUCGUGAGACAGUUCGGUCUCUAUCUGUUGCGGGCGUAGGAAGAUUGAGGGGUCCUGACUUUAGUACGAGAGGACCGAGUUGGACGAACCUCCGGUGUAUCGGUUAUGCUGCCAAGUGUACUGCCGAGUAGCCGCGUUCGGUCUGGAUAAGCGCUGAAAGCAUCUAAGCGCGAAGCCAUCCCCAAGAUAAGUCUUCCCUUGAGGGGCGUAGGAGACUACUACGUUGAUAGGCUGCAGGUGUAAAGACAGCAAUGUCAAAGCCGAGCAGUACUAAUUACCCGAUAGGCUUUCUU